AACAUCGCGCACCUGCGGGAACCUGCGGAAGGAUCAUUACAGAGUUGCAAAACUCCCUAAACCAUUGUGAGCGUUACCUAAACCGUUGCUUCGGCGGGCGGCCCGGGUCCUUCCCGGCGCCCCUCGGCCCUCGCGGGCGCCCGCCGGAGGUAAACCAAACUAUUGCAUUGUAUGGCCUCUCUGAGUCUUCUGUACUGAAUAAGUCAAAACUUUCAACAAUGGAUCUCAGAUCGGAAGAGC
Molecule: unclassified non-coding RNA, 240 nt
Filed under: soil metagenome
Description: partial contains 5.8S ribosomal RNA, internal transcribed spacer 2, and large subunit ribosomal RNA
Source: RNAcentral